UUUUUUUGUUUUGUUUUUUGUUUUUUUUUUUAGUUGUCUUGCCUAAAAGGUUUGUUAUGUCUUUCCUGUCCUCUUUCUAUGGUUUGGUUUUUUGAAGAAGAAAUGUAGUAUUGGCCUCUCCCUUAGGUUCAGUGUGUAUUCUCUACGGCCGAACCAAUUCUAUGUAUUAGCAGCCAUCCUGGAUCCCUGAAGACGAGCAGCUGAAGAGGUGGAAAUGUGGUUGACUCUUAAUUUCCUUUUCAGCAAACAGAUUUUAUUAAAGUUUAUUCCUUCAGAUACUCUUUAUAGCAGCUGAGAGGCUCAAACACUUGAUGGCUGUGAGCUAAAGUUUCUUUAGAGUCUGCAGGAGGAAGAUAAAAUCAAGUCAGUCCAACUGGUUUCAGGUAAAUUCGUGUGAAAAUCAUACUGUUAACUUGAAGAUUUUACUAGGGUGGUCCAUGGAUAAAAACUGAUACAAAUCACUAUUAGUGUGAUUUUUUUUUUUAAAAAUUACUGUUUUUUUUUUUUUUUAAGAAUUAAAUGGCGUAAUACUUCAACAUUUUGGCAAAAACCUAAUUUCUUGAAUCUUUGGUUCAUUUUCCAUUCAUAUUUCUGUAAGAUAAGAUGUACUCAUUUUAAUUGGACUAAGCAGUAAACCUAUUGAUAAGUGCCAGAAGGACAUGUACAUACGAUUCUUUUUUUUUUUUACAUGUGAUUCUUUAAUUAUAUUUUUCUGAACUUGUAGCCCAUGUGCUUUAUAUGCAAAAUUUUCAUUAGGCACAAAGCCUUUCUUCAGAUACCACAUUCUGUGAAGGAGAGGAGAUGCCUUAGGAUUCCUUGAACAUCAGAAUUGGUUAGCCUCAGCUUGGGUGAGAAAGCUGAACUCUUAAAAUUUUACCAUGGUAUUCAGUGUGCUCAUGUGGAGGAAAAGUGUUACAGAAUAAAAACAGAUUUAAACCUUUGGACAUCUGAUAAUUUAAUAUGCAGUUUUCUGGUUCACCAAGAUGUGCUAAUUAUGAAGUCAUUCAAGUAUCAGUUCUUCACUGAAGACCCCAAAUUCCAGUACACAUAGUGAAAUUUGACCUGUCCUGGUGAUGUAAUAGGAAUGAAGAACUGGGAGAACACCGUGAGGAAAUUCUUAGCUGUCACUUCACUGUCUCUUUGUUGUCUUGCCGAAAAGUGCCAGACCUAGGGGGACUUAACAGAUUUUUUACUUAAAAUCUAAACAACACUCCUAUCUCAAUAAACACGAGAGGCCUGAAAUGGAAACCUCGGUCACUGCUUAUUCCACAGAAUUCUAGGACGGAAUUAGAAGAGAGAUUGAAGGUGUGCGUC
This 1314-nucleotide long non-coding RNA is filed under the name Zalophus californianus (California sea lion). Its description in RNAcentral is "lncRNA (ENSZCAG00015007140.1)". Lineage: Eukaryota; Metazoa; Chordata; Mammalia; Carnivora; Otariidae. The record is from RNAcentral.